UACAUAAAAACACCUCAUAUUUUACAUAAUCAGCCCGCAGUCCAUCACUAUCUCUUUCCUCCUGAGUCCGGGCGCUCCAAGCCGGUUCCGAGCGAGAUGGGGCCGCUAUGCAGACGACGCCGGGCGCGGCGGCGGCGAUCUCCGGCCAGAUCCGGUCAGGGAGGCGAGGCAGGGGCCAGAUCCUGUUCCUGGGAUGGCGUGGAGGCGAUCUACGAGGCACGGGAGGAGGACAGGCGGCGGGGCUUGAACUCCAGCAGGCCCCCUUUUGAUGGAUGGGGCCGCCCACAUCGCUAGCGACUCCUCGGAGGACGACAGGGCCUCCUCCUCCGCGUCCUCUACCGGUUCGGCCUCCUGGCGCUCCUGGCCGCACAAGUGGAUUCACCUGCGGGGGCGCCGGCGCCGGCGCCCGUUGUCCGCUCGGAGAGGAGAGGGCGGUGAAGCCAACGGCAAGGGCGACGGUGACGAUGUGCAGGACCUCGCGCUGCCGCUGGGGAGAUGUCCUUCGCGGCGGUUCUUGCCCGAUGCUCCACACUUUGCCGUAAUUCAAUCUGCCAGUUCUCCGCUUGAGGUUAUCAUAUGACAGAACGUCUGGGGUGAAAGCUAAGCUACUUCCAAUGGUCCCAAAUGAGAAGGCAAGAAGGUAUCAGCUGUAUGAGAAGACCCCCGCACAUGCCCAUUCCAUUCUCUAUGAAGUCAAAAGUUUCCCACUGAAUAUAUUUGGUACUAAAAUGGUCGUUAUGUCAGCACGACGAUCGUGUGCCUAUUGUUGGCUCUUAAUUCUUUAGGAUUAUUUGAUUUGUUUGAUUCAUUCUGUUCAUAUUUAUGCAGCAACAAAAUACAGUCAAGAUCAGGGUGUGUGAGGGUUAAACAUGUUAAUUUAUGUGGCAUCAAGCUAUGUAUGUUAAUAGCA
This is an RNA transcript of Triticum urartu, 910 nucleotides long. RefSeq lists it as uncharacterized. NCBI's taxonomy places the organism in Eukaryota, Viridiplantae, Streptophyta, Magnoliopsida, Poales, Poaceae. The record is from RefSeq and is a predicted model, not a curated record.